This is a long non-coding RNA of Planococcus citri (citrus mealybug), 619 nucleotides long. RefSeq lists it as uncharacterized. NCBI's taxonomy places the organism in Eukaryota, Metazoa, Arthropoda, Insecta, Hemiptera, Pseudococcidae. The transcript has 3 exons. The record is from RefSeq and is a predicted model, not a curated record.
CGGGAGGGUAGCUUCGACGAACUUUCGAAGUAUAGGGUGGUUUCAGCUUUCGGCGCUUCCCAGUUUCCAUUUCCAUGAAUCAUCGGCAGACAGAACCAUCCGUAGGCUGUGGAAAUUCAAUAUCGUUAUUUAUCAGUAAGACGUUGUUCUCAAAACACAUCUUUUCGAGAGUACAGUUUAAAAAGUCAUCGAAAAAGACUAUAACUGAGGUGAAUAGCCAUGAAGUGUCGUUUUUCCGCUGGAGAAACCCAAGUAUACUUACUCGAGCUUAUUGAAUCUUAUAGACCGAAGAAUUUAUCGAACCAACACAGUUCUCUACUUCCCCAGCGAACAUUUAGAUAGUUUUUAGAAUACCUACCAAAGUGCAAUGAAUAACGCCAUCAUUCAGCUCUAUCGUUAAGAAAACGACGAUCAAGAAGAAAAUAGUGUCAAGAGUCGAAUUUGACAUGAAAAGAACACGAUACAGAUAAACGACCUAUCCGAUAAAAAAAAAAGUGACGCUGACGUAUCUAUCUACCACAUAUAUACCAACGAGAUUUGCAUUGCGACGUUGAUUACGUGAAAAACAAAACGUUCGUUAGGUAGGUACCUAGGUACCUAUCUCUGAAACGAGAAACAU